CGUAAAAAAAAAAUACGGAGAUUCGAUCCCGUGUCCUGACAGUCGAAAACCGACAGCUUAUACCACUCGGCCAUCUAUCCAC
RNAcentral lists this transfer RNA (82 nucleotides) under Cordylochernes scorpioides. RNAcentral describes it as "tRNA-Glu". The record is from RNAcentral. Lineage: Eukaryota; Metazoa; Arthropoda; Arachnida; Pseudoscorpiones; Chernetidae.